RNAcentral lists this ribosomal RNA (2889 nucleotides) under Triticum aestivum (bread wheat). RNAcentral's name for it is "partial small subunit ribosomal RNA". Lineage: Eukaryota; Viridiplantae; Streptophyta; Magnoliopsida; Poales; Poaceae. The record is from RNAcentral.
AUGACGCCACAGCCUAGUCCCAUUGCCAAGUCCCAAUUUCGCAAUCCCCUAAUUCUGUUUGAUGGCAAGGUUAUUUUGGUUUAUAUGAAUGCCUUCCUUGUUGGUUCAUGUAUAUGGCCAUACAUUCUUGCCCCCUCUCAAGUUUUUUUCCGGAUGUGGGAUAUUGUUUUCUUACAUAUGAAAAAUAAAACCUCGGAUGGGAGGUCCAUAGGCCGGUCGAUACAUGACGACCCUCAAGAAAAUACAAAUAGCCUUAUGGACCUCCCAUCCGAGGUCGUGGGCUGCGCAUUUCGUUCUCUCCGUCGCCUCCCGAUCCCAGCCGUCAAGAGGCGCGAUCCCGCGCCGUGCUCGAUACGGUGCCGCGCCGGCCGCCGGCCGACGACGGCGAUUGCAGCGCCCUUCGCCACCGUUUCGCUUCAACUCCUCUCCUCCGCGUGCCUGAGCUCCUUGCUGUGCGCCGCCCGGGAGGGCUCGCACUCGAUGCAGAACAUCGGCGGACGGAACUUGCAGGACCCAGAUCCGUGCGUGGCGAUGGGGAGGUCGCCGGUGACGCGUAGGAAGGCCGGAGUGCGGCUUCCCGGGCGGAUCCAUGGCGGCCCCUGGGCAGAAAGGAGAUAUGAGGUGAGGGAGAAAGAACGGACGGUGCGACGAUCUCGGCAGGAACUCGCAGGAGCCAGGCGACGGAUUGAAUCCGUUGUCGGUAAAGAAAAUGUUGGCUCGGAUGUUAUGGGCACAACCGGAAGAUUAAAGGGACCUCAUUCCCCAAGCUACUGGACGAAAAAUAAAAUUGUCAUGCUGCUUGGUCGGCACUGCAACUACACAGCUAAGCAGGAGAGUGGAAAUGCAGAACUAUAUGUUCCUAUUUCAACAACUGAAAAAGUUUUAAACAUGCCAUUGCAUUAUGUUUCAUAUUUUUGGCCAAGACGCUCUGCGGGGCGAUGGCACAUGGUCGGCAAGGCAGCGUUCUACAGCGCACCAGCCCGCAACGGAGGCGGCGCCCACGGCGCAGCCGUGGCCUUCGGUGCGCACCGCGGGGGUAGUGCUACCGGCCGCUGGCACGGCCCCGGAGCUGCUUCCCCAGACGGUGGUGCCCAUGGCUGUGGGCCCAUUGGCCCCCGGCCGGGUUCCCUGCGGAGGCGCGCGGUGAGGGCUGAAGUGACUGAAUCUGGAAGUUCUUUAGCGAUUGAUGCUCUGUCCCAAGUUAAGCAUAUUCUACUUCUGGUCACUGACCGCAACCCUUACCUCAGUUUUAAUUCCUUGAGGACAAUGGGUCCAAGAGUUGAUGGUUGGGAAGUAUCUUUGAAAGGAAUGAUGGGCAUAGUGGUACUUCUUGGGCUUGUCAUUACUUCCAUCUAUUGGGGAGUGAACAAGCUUGUGUCGAAUGAUCCUUCUCUUCCAAAAUCUGACCACAAGAAGAAAAAGAUGCUCGAUCCUUCAAUCUCUGGUGGAUGCUCCAUUUGGGAUCGAUACUCCCACUACCGCUCCCUCACGAUCGGAUUCGGUGAAUCUGUUUCCUCCAUGGCCCAGAGGAGCAGCUCUAUGUACUGUCGCGCGACUCCCUCCGGGAGUAUCGCCGCCUUUUCGCUCUGUUGCAGAUAUUUGGCCAUGGAUGUCAUCGUCGCCCUUCACAGGGUCGCCGUCUGCGAUCCUCACGUAUCGGUUGUACUCCUCCAUCCAUCUACUUCUCCACAGCACCUUCACUCGCCGGCGGUGGUUUUUGAAUGGAAGAGGAGAGGAGCAGCGCUGGAGAGGAUGGGCGGUGGUUUUGAAAUGGAAGAGGAGAGGAGCGGCACUGGAUUUAGAUUGGAACAGGAGAGGAGCGGCGGUGGUUUAAGAGGAGAAGAGCGGAAGAGCGGCGCUGGUCUUGGAAUCACAGCGCGCCGGCCCUCUCGUCCAAUCCUAAAUCGCUGCCGCACGCUCCUCUCCCUCUUCUCCAUUGCAAAAGCACAUCCUCUCCUCUCCAUCAUCUCCAUUCCAAAACCACCACCACAGUCUCUCCUCCCAUCUUCCAAAGCUAGCACCGGACCACUCAGAAGGACAUCUAUGGAGGGGAUGCAGCAGCGAAUCUGGCAGAUCGCCGGCGGCGACCAGGCAAAGUUAGCCAGGUUGAAGGAGAUCCUUACUUGGUUUGACAAUGAGUGGGAGAUUUCGAGGAAGGUGAGGGCCAUGUGGCAAUGUAUGCGAAAGAGCGAGACGACGACGAUGAGGGCGGCGAUGUACUCCUCGACGGCAGUCACGCCGCAGUCCUUCAAGUUCAUCGAGUAUCUCCUCUGGGCGAUGGAGCAGACAGAUUCGCCCGAGGUGAAAGUCAGGCGGAGGUGGUGGGCGUACAGGUCGAAGGUCGAGCACCCAGAGGAUAAUGAAUCGAUCGAGUACGGUGUGCUGUUCGUGAGGGUGCAGAGCCAGCCGGAGCCACAGGAGUAUUCGUUCUCCCACCGCAAGAGGAGGCCGGAUGGCGCGACGUCGCUUCCCCGCCGUUCUCCACGGUUCCCUCAACGCUCGCCUCGUUUCAACGGCGUCGGAUUUGCUGCCGAGAAAGAUCCGUCCACAGUGAGCGCCACACAUCCCACUGAUGGUGGUGGAUGCCAAUGCUUAGAUGGAGCAGGGUUGGUGUCGGUAAUUUUUACUUGGCACCUAGCACUCUGCAUAUAUGCCGGUUCCAUCCUGACACUAGGGUCGAGCAGGUGGCAAACGAGGUGUACCGUGCGUCGCAAGGAUGAAGGCGGGGGGUGCUUAGACUGGGAUGCUGAAGCUGGCUCUUUCAGUCCCUAUCUUCCCCCUGAUGUUUCUGUGGUAGCAUUUGGGUUUGCCAAAACAGUAGCACAAGAGCAGGAUCAACAUGUAGUAUCUUUGGCAAACGGUCAGACCAAAAAGGAACAUACCUCGUGA